CUAUGAUAAAUAAAACUGUACAAGAGCCCUCCUUUUGUAGGUGAAGGAGGCAAACACAUAAAGUAAGUAAUUAAUGUUAAUUACACAAAUCAUGCUCUAAUUAUACAAUUAAAUAAAUCAUGGAGAUUGGUCAAUCAAUAUAAUUAGGGAGUUAUGCUAACAUAUACCACUACCAUCUUCGCUGGGAAAGGAUAGAAUAUUGGUGGGUUUUAUGUUACAAUGAACAAACCCUUUCUCUUGGACGUGAGAGAGAGCCUUAAGGAGCAUAUAGCAAUAACACGCAACGACAGAUUCGGGCAUAUUGCCCGAGUAUUUCUCGAUCAAAUCGGCGAGGGAUCCAAUAGGAGCGUAGUCAAGGAGAAGAUUGUAGACCUCUCUAUUAUUUUCGUAACUUGUAUCAUCACCAAAACAGUGAACAAUUUCGGGGCAACCUCUCAGUUUGAACAAAAUUUCUCCUUCAUUCUUCAGCGAAGUAGAAUGCGGAGUAGUGGCAGACUUCACGGCAACGGUAGAAACGGAAAGAGGAGAAUCGAAAUUUAUUGCCAAAUGUACGGUUCCAUAUGAACCUGCACCAAGGAUGUGGGCUUUCGUCUAGAAACUGAAACGAAAUAAGGUAAAAUUUGAAACAAAGGAAAGGGAAAAAUUAGGGUUUCAUGGUGAAUUUCUUCUCUCCGGAUGAUAGAACUAGGAAUUUUCCUUUAUUAUGAAAGUCUAAAAUUUCUAUAUGUUUCUUGCAGUAUUGUUUCCUUGUUUACAUAGGGGUCUUAAUGUACCUGAAAAUUUGAAAUCGUGUCGAG
RNAcentral lists this long non-coding RNA (797 nucleotides) under Olea europaea subsp. europaea. Lineage: Eukaryota; Viridiplantae; Streptophyta; Magnoliopsida; Lamiales; Oleaceae. The record is from RNAcentral.